RNAcentral lists this ribosomal RNA (463 nucleotides) under uncultured Actinomyces sp. RNAcentral's name for it is "bacterial SSU rRNA". It matches the Rfam family "Bacterial small subunit ribosomal RNA", at positions 338 to 795 of the family's 1533-position model. The record is from RNAcentral. Lineage: Bacteria; Bacillati; Actinomycetota; Actinomycetes; Actinomycetales; Actinomycetaceae.
CCUACGGAGGGCAGCAGUGGGGAAUAUUGCACAAUGGGCGGAAGCCUGAUGCAGCGACGUCGCGUGAGGGAUGGAGGCCUUCGGGUUGUGAACCUCUUUCGCCAGUGAGGAAGGCCUUGCCUGUGUGGUGGGGUUGACGGUAGCUGGGUUAAUUGAAGCGCCGGCUAACUACGUGCCAGCAGCCGCGGUAAUACGUAGGGCGCGAGCGUUGUCCGGAAUUAUUGGGCGUAAAGGGCUUGUAGGCGGUUGGUCGCGUCUGCCGUGAAAUCCUCUGGCUCAGCUGGGGGCGUGCGGUGGGUACGGGCUGGUUUGAGUGCGGUAGGGGAGGCUGGAACUCCUGGUGUAGCGGUGGAAUGCGCAGAUAUCAGGAGGAACACCGGUGGCGAAGGCGGGUCUCUGGGCCGUUACUGACGCUGAGGAGCGAAAGCGUGGGGAGCGAACAGGAUUAGAUACCCCUGUAGUC